AUUGAACGCUGGCGGCAUGCCUUACACAUGCAAGUCGAACGGCAGCGCGGGGCAACCUGGCGGCGAGUGGCGAACGGGUGAGUAAUAUAUCGGAACGUGCCCUGGAGUGGGGGAUAACGUAGCGAAAGUUACGCUAAUACCGCAUACGAUCCAAGGAUGAAAGCAGGGGACCUUCGGGCCUUGUGCUCCUGGAGCGGCCGAUAUCUGAUUAGCUAGUUGGUGGGGUAAAAGCCUACCAAGGCGACGAUCAGUAGCUGGUCUGAGAGGACGACCAGCCACACUGGAACUGAGACACGGUCCAGACUCCUACGGGAGGCAGCAGUGGGGAAUUUUGGACAAUGGGGGCAACCCUGAUCCAGCAAUGCCGCGUGUGUGAAGAAGGCCUUCGGUUGUAAG
RNAcentral lists this ribosomal RNA (396 nucleotides) under uncultured bacterium. Its description in RNAcentral is "bacterial SSU rRNA". It matches the Rfam family "Bacterial small subunit ribosomal RNA", at positions 30 to 429 of the family's 1533-position model. The record is from RNAcentral.